AUUUAUAUAGUUUAAUAAAAAUAUUAUAUUUUCACUAUAAAGAUAAAUUUAAUUUUAUAAAUA
RNAcentral lists this transfer RNA (63 nucleotides) under Rybaxis sp. 1 EF-2015. RNAcentral's name for it is "tRNA-Glu". The record is from RNAcentral. Lineage: Eukaryota; Metazoa; Arthropoda; Insecta; Coleoptera; Staphylinidae.